Molecule: ribosomal RNA, 473 nt
Filed under: Bacillus atrophaeus
Lineage: Bacteria; Bacillati; Bacillota; Bacilli; Caryophanales; Bacillaceae
Description: bacterial SSU rRNA
Rfam family: Bacterial small subunit ribosomal RNA
Source: RNAcentral
ACGAACGCUGGCGGCGUGCCUAAUACAUGCAAGUCGAGCGGACAGAUGGGAGCUUGCUCCCUGAUGUUAGCGGCGGACGGGUGAGUAACACGUGGGUAACCUGCCUGUAAGACUGGGAUAACUCCGGGAAACCGGGGCUAAUACCGGAUGCUUGUUUGAACCGCAUGGUUCAAACAUAAAAGGUGGCUUCGGCUACCACUUACAGAUGGACCCGCGGCGCAUUAGCUAGUUGGUGAGGUAAUGGCUCACCAAGGCAACGAUGCGUAGCCGACCUGAGAGGGUGAUCGGCCACACUGGGACUGAGACACGGCCCAGACUCCUACGGGAGGCAGCAGUAGGGAAUCUUCCGCAAUGGACGAAAGUCUGACGGAGCAACGCCGCGUGAGUGAUGAAGGUUUUCGGAUCGUAAAGCUCUGUUGUUAGGGAAGAACAAGUGCCGUUCAAAUAGGGCGGCACCUUGACGGUACCUAACC